RNAcentral lists this long non-coding RNA (4182 nucleotides) under Xyrichtys novacula (pearly razorfish). Lineage: Eukaryota; Metazoa; Chordata; Actinopteri; Labriformes; Labridae. The record is from RNAcentral.
GCUAAAAAAAACAUAUGAGCCCUGGUUUCUUUGUACAGGGACGUUAAUAGAAUAGGUAACUGCUAUGAGCCUCUCAGGAUAAAGAGGACGUUUGUACACCUAAUAGUAAGAAAUGAGCCCCUUAUUAGAUGAGGAGGACUUUGGAUGGUGAUAACAUGCUCGAUUAAAAUGACAAUUAAAGAAGUGUACACAAGCACAUUUUUGUUCAUACAGAUACAGGAAAAAACAGAGUAAAAGAUUGGAAUGAUUUGCUGACUGAUGGGUGUGGUUUCCCUCUGUGUGUGUGUGAAUAUUUAAAGUGAAUGGUCACUUGCUGAUGAUCAUGUUUAGAGGGAAGUCCUAGUUAAAAAUUGGAAAAAUCCAGGAAGCUUUUCCUCCCUCUUUCUUUCUCUUCUUACAGGCCUGAGAACAGAAAGAAAGCUAAAAAAUCUAGUUUAACUAUCCUAGUUGCGUGAAAAUUUUAAAUGAUAUACCAUGAUAAGGGGAUUGGGGUAUAAUAAAUUUAGGUAGUCUUAUGGUAGAAGAAAUCUUUAAAUAGUGGUAGUAAACGUUUUAAAUUGUAUUGAAUGAAGUGAUUGUAAUGUACUAAACAUUUGAUUUGUCUUUCGUCCCUAACUCUGAUGCAUGAGAGGGGAGAGGAGAAUGAAAGGAGUCUGACGUUGGAGCUCCCAUGAGACAGAUAAGAAGAUAAUUGGCUGUGCUGCAAACAAGAGGGGGCUUGCGGAUGAGAGGCUCACCAGGUCCUGCUCCCAUUUGACAGGCCAGUACAGUUUUGUCUACAAACUCUUCUCCGAUGUGUCUGCUGCUACUUAGUUGUACAUACACACAUUAAUAGUGGGAACACAUUUAGUUGGGUGUAUAUAUUUGUUAGUGCUAGACAAUGAGAGCAGUAGUUUUGUUGGUAAAAAGAAAGGCUUGGCAAUAGAAAUAUUGCAUAACCAGAUUUAUUAACCCAGUCUGUUAAUGUUCACUUUUAAUUCAUAGAUGAUUGAACCAAAAAAAUAGUAAUUUACUUUUUUAUCUUUGGAUUUACUGAGAAAACUGUUCUGCUCACAGCUGUGGUCAAUUUACUCAUGUUGUAUUUUAUUUGUCAUUUCAUUUUAGAGAGGAGAUGAAACCAGACCAGAUGAUAGCAGACCAGACCAGAGAGGAGCUGAGGGGGCAGCCUGCAUCACAAACUAUCUUCAAAAGAAAGGUACGUUUUUUUUUUAAAUUCCACCUUAUUUACUGGUAACUGUUACAUUAUUUUACAAGUAUCUGAAAAUUUUAAUUAACCUUCCCUUUUUUUCUCUCCAAGUUAUUUGUCUGUUAUAGAAAUGAAACAAGCCUAGACCAAACUGGAGAAGACCAGAGUGGACCAGAUGAUAGCAGACCAGACCAGAGAGGAGCUGAGGGGACAGCCUGCAUCGCAAACUAUCUUAAAAAAAAGGUACAUAUAUUUUAUUCUAACUGCUCUUAUUGGUAACUGUUUCAUUAUUCUACAAGUGUCUGAAGUUCUUUAUUAAUUUUUUUGUCUCCAAAUUUAUUUGUCUUUUAUGGAAAGGAAACAAGCCCAGACCAGACUGGAGGAGACCAGACCAGACCAGAUGAUAGCAGACCAGACCAGAGAGGAGCUGAGGGGACAGCCUGCAUCGCAAACCAUCUUUAAAAAAAAGAUACAUUAACUUUAUUCUAAUAUAUUAUUCUAAUUCAUUUCCGGAUUUAUAUUUAAAUUUAGGAUUCAAAUGUUAGUAUUUAAGGUUAAGUAAUGCUUCUACUAUUACAAUUACUUAUACUUUUACUCUGGAAUUUAUUUGUGUGUCAUAUAGUGGAGAAGACAGAAGCCAGACUAGACCAGAGACCAAGACUGGAGAACAGAGUGGAGACCAGAUGAGUCCAGACCAGAGAAGAGCUGAGGGGGCAGCCGACAUCGCAAACUGACAAAAAAAAAAAAGAUAAAUAUAUUUUAUCCUUAAUUUCAUCCCCAAUUGUUUCACUGUAAAAUUGUUUCAGUCGGAGUCUUCAGUGGUGUUAUAACUUUUCUUUUUCCUCUUAUGUGAUUUGUCUUGUACAGAGAAGACAGAAAACCAGUCCAGACCAGAUACCAGCUGAGGGGGCAGCAUACCUUACAAGCCAUCUUUAAAAAAUAACGUAAGUUUUUCCCAUGCCAUAUUUUUUUUGUUGUUUUGAUCAAAAUUACUUCACUGUAAAUAUUAUUUUAAAAUUGUCUUCACUUGUUAACUUCUUUUGUCGCCCACAUUAUUUGUCCUUUACAGAAAGGAAACAAGUCUAGACCAGACUGGAGGUGUAUAGAUGAUGUCUGAAAUCAGCGUGUUCGUUUUUGUGGUCAGUUGGACUGGAACAUGAAGCUGUGGUGGCCUCACUGUGAAGCUCUCAUCGCCUACCUGAUGACCUACAGUCACACUAAGAGACCAGAGCUGCUGGAGAGAUUCUCUCAGGUGUAUGAGUACACCUUCAGUCACGUGAGUUAUUACUGAGGGAAACGUACCCGAGGAAAAAUCUCAUGCUACACCUCUGAAGUGUUAAAUGUCAACAAACGACCGUCAUGAUGACUUGUAACUUAUGAAGCCUCACUUAAGAAGCACUGAAAUAUUCCUUUAAUGUUCAUAUUGUAGAAACAUUGGGUAGAAUAGAAAAGAAAAGAAGUUGUAGAGAAGAAAAAAGAUGUUAAAAUAGACGAAAAAGAGAUGCCAAAAAUAGAAUAGCAGAGACUAGUAAUGGGAGUGUGCUACAUAACCGUGCAAGAUUAACGAAGACAGGGCCCAUAUCUUCUUAACGGUAAGACAAUGUGUAAAUUAGUGACUAAUGUGAACGUCUAGCUCAAAAAGGAUAGUCGAAUUCGGGGCGUGGAAAGAAAAAGUGAGGAGUAAAACCCGGAGCCCAGGGUAAUUGGCAAAUAAAUGAUGAAAAGAGAUAAAGAGUAAAAGAGACAAAGUGAAAAAGAGAAAAAGGCUGAGAUGGCCCAGGAAUAGAGAAGAAAAAGGCUGAGAUGGCCGAAAAAGAGAAAAAGUUAACUUAAUGUUAGGGACGACGCGAUUGGGCAUACAAACCGGUGAGGACAGUUUAAAGAAGGAAAAAAGGCCUAUAUACUAUAGUAAGGAAACACUGAGCUCAGUGAGAAGAGGUGUGCUGAAAUUUGAGUGCGUGAGAGAAGCUUCUGGUGUGUGUGUGUGCGUGCGUGCGUGCGUGCGUGCGUGCGUGCGUGCGUGCGUGCGUGCGUGCGUGCGUGCGUGCGUGCGUGCGCGCGCGUGUGUGUGUGUGUGUGUGUACACAAAGUUGGGGAAUGAUCUAGCAUAGGUUUAAGUGAUUAACUUAUGAUAAAGUGAUAAAUGAUGUCUUAUUAAAUAUAUAAUGAUAUGAUAUAAGAAAUUACCGUAUAAGGGAAGAGAUACUGUUGCCUUUGUAGUGCUAAAAAAAACAUAUGAGCCCUGGUUUCUUUGUACAGGGACGUUAAUAGAAUAGGUAACUGCUAUGAGCCUCUCAGGAUAAAGAGGACGUUUGUACACCUAAUAGUAAGAAAUGAGCCCCUUAUUAGAUGAGGAGGACUUUGGAUGGUGAUAACAUGCUCGAUUAAAAUGACAAUUAAAGAAGUGUACACAAGCACAUUUUUGUUCAUACAGAUACAGGAAAAAACAGAGUGAAAGAUUGGAAUGAUUUGCUGACUGAUGGGUGUGGUUUCCCUCUGUGUGUGUGUGAAUAUUUAAAGUGAAUGGUCACUUGCUGAUGAUCAUGUUUAGAGGGAAGUCCUAGUUAAAAAUUGGAAAAAUCCAGGAAGCUUUUCCUCCCUCUUUCUUUCUCUUCUUACAGGCCUGAGAACAGAAAGAAAGCUAAAAAAUCUAGUUUAACUAUCCUAGUUGCGUGAAAAUUUUAAAUGAUAUACCAUGAUAAGGGGAUUGGGGUAUAAUAAAUUUAGGUAGUCUUAUGGUAGAAGAAAUCUUUAAAUAGUGGUAGUAAACGUUUUAAAUUGUAUUGAAUGAAGUGAUUGUAAUGUACUAAACAUUUGAUUUGUCUUUUGUCCCUAACUCUGAUGCAUGAGCGGGGAGAGGAGAAUGAAAGGAGUCUGACGUUGGAGCUCCCAUGAGACAGAUAAGAAGAUAAAUGGCUGUGCUGCAAACAAGAGAGGGCUUGCGGAUGAGAGGCUCACCAGGUCCUGCUCCCAUUUGACAGGCCAGUACAGUUUUG